AUUGAACGCUGGCGGCAGGCCUAACACAUGCAAGUCGAACGGUAACAGGAAACAGCUUGCUGUUUCGCUGACGAGUGGCGGACGGGUGAGUAAUGUCUGGGAAACUGCCUGAUGGAGGGGGAUAACUACUGGAAACGGUAGCUAAUACCGCAUAACGUCGCAAGACCAAAGAGGGGGACCCUCGGGCCUCUUGCCAUCGGAUGUGCCCAGAUGGGAUUAGCUUGUUGGUGGGGUAACGGCUCACCAAGGCGACGAUCCCUAGCUGGUCUGAGAGGAUGACCAGCCACACUGGAACUGAGACACGGUCCAGACUCCUACGGGGAGGCAGCAGUGGGGAAUAUUGCACAAUGGGCGCAAGCCUGAUGCAGCCAUGCCGCGUGUAUGAAGAAGGCCUUCGGGUUGUAAAGCACUUUCAGUCAGGAGGAAAGGUUAGUAGUUAAUACCUG
This 446-nucleotide ribosomal RNA is filed under the name uncultured bacterium. Its description in RNAcentral is "bacterial SSU rRNA". It matches the Rfam family "Bacterial small subunit ribosomal RNA", at positions 30 to 471 of the family's 1533-position model. The record is from RNAcentral.